Molecule: non-coding RNA, 215 nt
Rfam family: HNH endonuclease-associated RNA and ORF (HEARO) RNA
Source: Rfam
GUCAGGAACUCAGGGCUCAAGCCACUGAGCUUGUAAGAAGUUGCAAGCUAUUCUGACCAGCCUAAGCCUUAAGUGGCUACGUUUUUUGAGUCACGACACCGGCGAAUGCGAAGCUAGUUUUCCGCUCUGUCAUCUGCAAUUAAACAGUUUUAAAGUCACUGAAACAGUGUUGCAGGUUUAACAAGCUCUUAAAACAUUGGCGAAGCUAACAUCAC